This is a long non-coding RNA of Carassius carassius (crucian carp), 337 nucleotides long. RefSeq lists it as uncharacterized. The record is from RefSeq and is a predicted model, not a curated record. The transcript has 3 exons. Lineage: Eukaryota; Metazoa; Chordata; Actinopteri; Cypriniformes; Cyprinidae.
UUCUCAAGAUCCAAACAGUGGUUGUUCUUCUUACUCAAACAACCUUCAAACUUUCUUUCACAGAAUCUCGAACAAUUUGUAAAAGAUGUGUUUCCGUCAGCGGGCUGCUCGGAGAUACACCUUUGCCAAGCAGCAAAGGUUAUGAAAACCACACAUCUAAAGUUACCCAAAUCUAAAGUUAUCUCCAAGCUACAUAGGAGAUUGUAUGCCUAUUCAGGGCAAUGUAACUUCAGCGUUCAAGCUUCAGAGGAACACCAAAUGAAAGAUUUUCUGACAAAAAUCAAAUACUGCUGCAAUAAUCUACUCUCAAGCAUGAAAGACCAGAGGAAAUGACUCA